GGGCAGUUACAAAAUUAGUUAAAUUUGCUUGCACUUGCUCGACAAGCAAGGGGUCACUGGUUCGAGUCCAGUAUCGCCCA
This 80-nucleotide transfer RNA is filed under the name Anaerolineales bacterium. RNAcentral describes it as "tRNA-Val". The record is from RNAcentral. Lineage: Bacteria; Bacillati; Chloroflexota; Anaerolineae; Anaerolineales.